This 497-nucleotide ribosomal RNA is filed under the name uncultured bacterium. RNAcentral describes it as "partial 16S ribosomal RNA". It matches the Rfam family "Bacterial small subunit ribosomal RNA", at positions 28 to 507 of the family's 1533-position model. The record is from RNAcentral.
GAUGAACGCUGGCGGCGUGCCUAAUACAUGCAAGUCGAGCGAACGGACGAGAAGCUUGCUUCUCUGAGGUUAGCGGCGGACGGGUGAGUAACACGUGGAUAACCUACCUAUAAGACUGGGAUAACUUCGGGAAACCGUAGCUAAUACCGGAUAAUAUUUUAAACCGCAUGGUUCAAAAGUGAAAGACGGUCUUGCUGUCACUUAUAGAUGGAUCCGCGCUGCAUUAGCUAGUUGGUAAGGUAACGGCUUACCAAGGCAACGAUGCAUAGCCGACCUGAGAGGGUGAUCGGCCACACUGGAACUGAGACACGGUCCAGACUCCUACGGGAGGCAGCAGUAGGGAAUCUUCCGCAAUGGGCGAAAGCCUGACGGAGCAACGCCGCGUGAGUGAUGAAGGUCUUCGGAUCGUAAAACUCUGUUACUAGGGAAGAACAUAUGUGUAAGUAACUGUGCACAUCUUGACGGUACCUAAUCAGAAAGCCACGGCUAACUACGUG